UACGGGGGGGGCAAGCGUUGUUCGGAAUUACUGGGCGUAAAGGGCGCGUAGGCGGCCAACUAAGUCAGACGUGAAAUCCCCAGGCUCAACUUGGGAACUGCGUCUGAUACUGGAUGGCUUGAAUUCGGGAGAGGGAUGCAGAAUUCCAGGUGUAGCGGUGAAAUGCGUAGAUAUCUGGAGGAAUACCGGUGGCGAAGGCGGCAUCCUGGACCGAUAUUGACACUGAUGAGCGAAAGCUAGGGGAGCAAACGGG
Molecule: ribosomal RNA, 253 nt
Filed under: uncultured bacterium
Lineage: Bacteria
Description: partial 16S ribosomal RNA
Rfam family: Bacterial small subunit ribosomal RNA
Source: RNAcentral